AAACUUUCAACAACGCAUCUCUCGGUUCUGGCAUCGAUGAAGAACGCAGCGAAAUGCGAUAAGUAAUGUGAAUUGCAGAAUUCAGUGAAUCAUCGAAUCUUUGAACGCACAUUGCGCCCCCCAGUAUCCUGGCGGCCACGCCUGUUCGAGCCUCAUU
RNAcentral lists this ribosomal RNA (157 nucleotides) under uncultured fungus. Its description in RNAcentral is "5.8S ribosomal RNA". It matches the Rfam family "5.8S ribosomal RNA". Rfam says of the family: 5.8S ribosomal RNA (5.8S rRNA) is a component of the large subunit of the eukaryotic ribosome. It is transcribed by RNA polymerase I as part of the 45S precursor that also contains 18S and 28S rRNA. Functionally, it is thought that 5.8S rRNA may be involved in ribosome translocation. The record is from RNAcentral. Lineage: Eukaryota; Fungi.